CGGAAAGAUCACGGCUGCUACUUGUUUGAAAGGCCAAUGGGGGACUCAGGUGAAAAUUCACAGAUUGCUUCUACAGUCGAGAUUUCGGACAAGAAAGAAAGAAGAGGCAGAUUUUUUCUUUGUGCCAGCUUAUGUAAAAUGUGUUCGGAUGCUCGGUGGUCUCAGUGACAAGGAGAUUAAUGAAGCAUAUAUACAGGUUUUAGGUCAAAUGCCGUAUUUCAG
RNAcentral lists this unclassified non-coding RNA (222 nucleotides) under Hevea brasiliensis (rubber tree). Lineage: Eukaryota; Viridiplantae; Streptophyta; Magnoliopsida; Malpighiales; Euphorbiaceae. The record is from RNAcentral.